Molecule: ribosomal RNA, 253 nt
Filed under: uncultured bacterium
Lineage: Bacteria
Description: partial 16S ribosomal RNA
Rfam family: Bacterial small subunit ribosomal RNA
Source: RNAcentral
UACGUAGGGGGCGAGCGUUGUCCGGAUUUAUUGGGCGUAAAGAGCUCGUAGGUGGUUUGGUAAGUCGCGUGUGAAAGCCCCCGGCUCAACUGGGGAGGGUCACGCGAUACUGGUCGACUCGAAGGCAGGAGAGGGUAGUGGAAUUCCCGGUGUAGUGGUGAAAUGCGUAGAUAUCGGGAGGAACACCAGUGGCGAAGGCGACUACCUGGCCUGUUCUUGACGCUGAGGCGCGAAAGCUAGGGGAGCAAACGGG